RNAcentral lists this non-coding RNA (26 nucleotides) under Mus musculus (house mouse). Lineage: Eukaryota; Metazoa; Chordata; Mammalia; Rodentia; Muridae. The record is from RNAcentral.
UGGAUAACAGAGCCUACCCUCAAACC